This 5647-nucleotide long non-coding RNA is filed under the name Capsicum annuum. RNAcentral describes it as "long non-coding RNA (CANN_LNC004151)". The record is from RNAcentral. Lineage: Eukaryota; Viridiplantae; Streptophyta; Magnoliopsida; Solanales; Solanaceae.
UUUCUUUUCCUUCGGGGGUGACCUGGAGACACUAUCCUCUUCACUCAAAAUAUCGGCACACACAUACACCCAAUCGCACACACACGCGCAAUCCUCUCCCUUCACAGCUUACUCAAAAUCGCACACUAAUCCGUACAUACCUAAAAAAAAAAUAGAGCCGAUUGAGAGAGAGGGUGACGAAUAGAGAGAGAUAUAGUUAUUUUGGUUUUGGAUUAUUGUUUUGGCGACACAGUCGUCGAAUUUAGACAUUUUCCGUCAGCUUAUUCCCUUCACGGCUCACUGGAGCUUAGAUUCAGACUGGUUUUGAGCUCUCAGUUAGACUUCGGAGAUGUUAGUUCUCGUUUGCUCGUCAUUCGUCUUCCGAUAUCGUGCCUUUGAAGGUUUUUGAUAUCGGGACGGUCUGUUUUUCGGUUGCUAUUUUGUUGUGGUUUCAUCGGUCUUCGCUACUAAUUUGAAGAUUAGAAUCUCAUUCGUCUCGAAUCGUUAAUCGCGAUCAAUUUUUGGUCUUCAAUCUUCGAUACCAAAUCUGGGGUUAUCGCAUUUUGGAUUGUUUCUCGAUUGAUUUGGAGAGUCGAGAUUUCGUUGGUAUUCUUCGAGGUUCUUGGACGGGCUCUUAUUUCUCUUAUUAAAUCAAUCGAAAGCUCCUGAGGUCCAAUUCUAACUUUUCUCUUUUUGAUUUUCUCGUGAUUACGAAUGAUUUGUAUGUUUGGGCAUAUUUGAAUCCUCGUUGUUUGUUUGUUUGACGUUGAAUUUAGAGUUGAAAACUUAAUUGAUAAAUUGUGUUUAGAAUUGGCUUAAUCAUUAAGUAGGAAUUUGGAGAGGGAAUCGGAAAUCUAUAAAGGGUGAAUUUUGGCUAAUUUGAUUCGUGGGUUGUUGUUUGACUUAGAAUGCAUUACUCGAACUUUAUGGUAGCAUGUUUUAGGUCGAGAUAGAAUAGACAAAUUUUAAGUUGGAUAGGCAAAAGUAGGAAUCGUGCAUAGUUGAAUGAUUUCAAAUGUUUGUGGAAUAGUUUAUUUUUCUCGCAUUUGAAAAAUGUAUUUAUUCGUCGGGGAAUGCCUCGAGGUCACAUUGUACUUAUUCAUCAGGGAAUGCCCCGACGUAUUAUGUACUCGGAGGAAGUGCGUGAUGAAGGCCCGAGACAUCGGGUAAAGCCUUGGAGCGUAGUUUAGGAUUAGUGUAGGUUUACUUUUCAGUUCUUUUUUUUUAUCUCAGGUUGUAAUAAUUGAACUGGACACUAUAAUUUUGAAUUUUUUUUGUUUGUUUGAUUGAUUUGUGUAUUUUUUUUGUGUGGUUUAUAUAUUCAUAAUGUGAAAAUUAGUCGAUACGCUCCACCAAGUGACCGUGGUCGAACUACGGGAUCGAGGGGUGUCUAACACCUUCCUCUCGGUCAACAGAAUUCCAUAGCCGGAAUCUCUGUUCGCGGAUCAGUGUUACAGAGUCAAAACCAUUUUUUUGAAAAAAGAUAUCCACGGGUGACUUGGCACACCCGAUUUAUGUCAAGUGGCGACUCUGAGUUUUGAAUGUAAAUAAUCCUUUUCGAAAUCAAUCUUCAUUUUGUCACUUUAAUAAUAAAAACCCUUUCGAACUAAAUUCUAACCUUUUCAAAAAAAAUUUAAAAAAAAGGGUGUGACAACUAACACCCUUGAGUCUAGAUCUAAGUUAAGCUUGAACAUUGUUGUUGGUAUUGUUGUUACGGUUUCAAGAACUUGAAUAUUGUUGAUGUUGUUGUGUGAACCAAAACUUGAAGGUGGUUUGAGCUCGUGUUGGUAUUUUGUUGUGGUUUUUAAGCUUGAAAAAGGUGGUGUUGAUUGUCGGAGGUUCAACGUGAGGCUAAGUUUUCAAACUUCUAUUGAAAGUUCUUGUUGUUCUAGACUAUCUUCAUGUCUAGUUGCAAAAAACCUGUUCAAUAGUGUUGUUUGAUCCAAAAGCCAAGUGGAAAGAAGUGAGGCCUUUGUUAGUCUUUAAAACAAAUCCCAAAAGCCUACCAAAAGGGAAAGGGGAACAAAAAGAUCUACAAAAGACUUAGUACUAAAAGAGGAAAAAAAACACUUUUCUAGGUGUCCAAAAUAGGAAAGGGCCAAAGGUGUCUUGUCCAAAAGGUAUAAGACAAGUCAAACCUUUUUGAAUAUGAAAAAGGGCUCCAAUCUUGAUAUUUUUCUUCCCCAAGGUCGGAAUACACUUCUUCAGGAAUUGAAAAUUGAACCAAAAUUUCAGAGUUGGAAAAAUAAAAACCUUUCAAAAACCGCAACCAAUCCUAGACCGCCACAUCACCUAUUUUUGUACAAUACCGAAACUUAGGGCUCAAAAUCUUGGAUUCUUAGUUUCUUAUUUUUGAUUCUUAGUUUCAUUUUUUUAUUCUUAUACUUAUUGGCAACUAGUAAAUAUCUACUAACUUGUAAAUUAAUUUUUGAAUAUGUUUCUUUCGUGUCUUCGUUAUUUGUGUGCUUUUCUCGUUUGUAACUGUAGUAACUUCUUUAUUUCAAGUUCAUAAGUGAACUUUGUUUUGUGUCUUGAGUCAAUUAAAACAAGAAUUCAUUCUGACCGCCAAGUAGGAUUGACAUCUUAUUGACUAUCGGAGUAUUAAGCAACUUUCAAUAUUUGCCGCUCCAAUUGUGAGAAUCACAAAGGUGGGUGUAUCGAGUGUUGGUAAGGAGCUUUUUGUUUUCUUUUGUUUGUUAUUGUCUUUUUUUUUUGGUUAGGUACCAUGGAUGCACAUAAUUUCAAGGCCACGUGUGAUCGCAUCCAUGACGAUCUUGAAGAUAUGAAACAACACAUUGAAAUGAUACGUCAAUUGUUAUCCAAACUCUUCCCUCAAAAUCCAAUUGUCCAAACAACUUGCGAUAAGAGCUUUCUGAAGGAAGUUGCUACCCAAUCUUGUGAUGGACUUUCACACCGAGGUAAAGUCGAACAUACUCAUGAACGUCAAGGUAAAAUAGCUAGCCCUUACAAUUUUGUGUAUGUGAAUGAUAAUUGUGUGGCUAGUAGUCUAUUGAGUGUGAGUUAUAGCUUGCCUAUAUGUGAGUCUAUUGUUUCUUUGUCACUUGAUGAUGAUGUACUUGUUGUGAGUGUGGAUACACUAGUUGAUCCUAUUGAUGACCGAAUUGACUCUUCUUAUAAGAUCGAUUUAUGUCCACCUAGUGUUGAAAUCAUUGUGUUGAAUGAAAGUACACCGUCUUGUGAAAUUUAUGGUGAAUCAACUUUUGUGUGAAAAUUGUCUACCACUUAAGGAUGUGUGUGAUGUGAUUAAUGAAUCGUGAUAAUGUUGAAAAUAUUGAUCAAAGGAAUAGGAGUGAACCCGAGAGCUAUUCUUGGGAUAAUCUUGCACUUGAAAUCUCUUUGAAACUUGAUAUUAAUCUUUUAGAGAGUGAUGAACGUGUUUGUUCCGAAUCUGUCCGUGAAAUAAAUCAUACUCUCUAAAAGUAUAAUGUCUUGUUUGAAGAUAAUAUAACCACUCCUAAUAAACCUAGUGGUGGAAAUGAUGGUAUACCUUGCCUUAGAAGCUAUAGUCGAUAUGUUAAUCCACUAUGGUGUGACAACAUUCCUCCUAGAAAGAUAAGAGUGCUCUUAAGGGUAAGGAAUGUGUGGUUUUAAAAACUACUUCUCCUUCUACUUUAUGUGACUUUAUUAUUGAGAGUACUCGUAAUGAUGAUUGUGAAAUUAAUAGUAAGUACACACAUGAGGGCGCCUUAGUAGAAAUCAACUUGAGUGAUACCUUUCUCUACUUUCUAGUUGCUCUAGAUAAUAUGUAUGCUAUUGUAGAGAGUAUGUCGUUUAUUUUGGGUGAAGACCACGAAAAAGGAGAGUGUUAUUUAAACCCGUAUCUAUAAUCACUCUUCCGUUUGACCCCGAUGUCAAAUAUAGAAUUGGUGAUGAUGAUGCACCCAACUUGUUGAUUAGUUUACAUAACAAGCAAAGUAUAUCUUUAGUAUAGAGCUUAGAAAAAUCAAUAUUAUUCUUUACUUAAAAAGAAUGAAUCUUGAAGUGAAUUGAUUACCUUAACAAUCACCUAAGAGUGUGAUUUUAAUUAUUACAUUCAUUAGGAGUUAAUAUUGAAAUAUACUUAAUUCUUAAUUUUGUAAUAAUAUUGAUCUCACUAUCUAUUCUUUCAUUAUUUUGUAAAUUCAUGUGUUUUUUGUGUUUGUCAUCUUGUUGUUCUUCUCACAUUUUGUGGAUUGUUUUGAUAUCUUGAUGGACUGAUUUAUAUCACCUUGGAAGCAAACUCAGGAUUUAAAGUCUCCGAGUGAUUGAAACGAUAAAUUUACUUAACACCUUAAAGACUCCGAAUUCUGAAUUCGGUUCUGGAUCCAAAGGUAUAGUAGCCAUGAUAUUUUUUUCAAAAGAACAGAAGUAAACGGAUCCAACUCCCCAUCAUUUCCUUUCUCUCCCUUUACUGUUUGAAUUAGUGACAUAGGAUCCGAAGUAAACAAGCUACAUCCAACAGUAUUUUCUACAUUACUAAAAAUAAACCUCACAAUACUUGUUAUUAAUUUUUAUUUGCUCUAAUUAGAUUAAACGUGACAACCCUCAAUAAAUCUCUUAUCAAUAUUUAACAAUUUAAAAAUAACACACACAACCUACAUGGAAUAAAUAAAAAAAGAAAAUUGGACAGAAUGCCGAAAGAUUCUUUUCUCAAUUUGGUGAGUUAUACUCACUAAUUUUCUUAUUUGAUUCUCCAUUUUACUUAUUUUUUUAGUAAUUAAGAUAAAACAAAUUUUUUUCAUAUUUUACUUUUGUAGGAUAUUAUUAAUUAUUUUUCUUAAUUAAGAUGAAGAAAAUAUUAGAUUUCUUUUGAGUAAUGUCUGCUCCAAAUUAUCAUUUUUUUUUAUAAGAUUCCUCUCAAAUUAUGUCCGAUCCUAAUUAUCCAGGAAACAAAAGUCAUUUCUGCCUGAAGAGGCAACACACAAACAGAAUACCAGAAGCAUUACACUGCAUUAAACACCAACCAAACAAUAUCAUGCCCAUACAAUUACCCCAAAUUACCUUUUCAUAAUACUUGCAAAAACUUGAAAAACAUAACAAAAAAGCAUAAAGAGCAAGACACGAGUACUUCUAGAUAGAUCCCUACCAUUUUAUUUGUACUAACAUAUAAUUCCACUAACCAUCAAACAUAUCCAGAAAACAGAGCAACAUGUUUAACAUUUCAAGCAACUUUAACCUCAUCCAGAAAACAGAGCAACAUGUUUAACAUUUCAAGCAACUUUAACCUCAUCCAGAAAACAGAGCAACAUGUUUAACAUUUCAAGCAACUUUAACCUCAUCCAGAAAACAGAGCAACAUGUUUAACAUUUCAAGCAACUUUAACCUCAAUUGUUUUGGGCUUCUUUGGUUCAGGAGGCGGCAACUUCUGAACAGUGACGGUUAACACCCCAUCCUGACAAACAGCAGAAAUUGCACCAGUAUUAGCAUUCUCUGGCAGAGUAAACUUCCUCAUGAAUUUCCCAACCCUUCUCUCCAUUCUGAUAUACUUUGCACCUUCUUUCUCUUCUUCCCUCUUCCUUUCUCCGCUAAUAAGAAGCACAUUUUCCUCUUCCACCUGCACUUUGAUGUCUCCAGAUUUCAGCCCCGGCAUAUCAACGACGAAAACAUAGGAAUUAGGAUACUCUUUCACGUCUGCUGGUGUGGCAGCCAUGGCUUUAGCAUCACGAAC